RNAcentral lists this ribosomal RNA (214 nucleotides) under Salmonella enterica. RNAcentral's name for it is "partial 23S ribosomal RNA". It matches the Rfam family "Bacterial large subunit ribosomal RNA", at positions 1109 to 1321 of the family's 2925-position model. Lineage: Bacteria; Pseudomonadati; Pseudomonadota; Gammaproteobacteria; Enterobacterales; Enterobacteriaceae. The record is from RNAcentral.
GAAGCAGCCAUCAUUUAAAGAAAGCGUAAUAGCUCACUGGUCGAGUCGGCCUGCGCGGAAGAUGUAACGGGGCUAAACCAUGCACCGAAGCUGCGGCAGCGACGCUGAUGCGUUGUUGGGUAGGGGAGCGUUCUGUAAGCCUGUGAAGGUGUGUCGUGAGGCAUGCUGGAGGUAUCAGAAGUGCGAAUGCUGACAUAAGUAACGAUAAAGCGGG